AAAUGUUGAUCUAGACAAGUCUGAACAAAAAUUUCAUCACAGCUAGAAAGAGCAUCACAAAAUUAGUCAGGCCCGGUUUAGACGGCGAACUUUUCAUGCACCGAAUCUAAUGCAAGGAUUAAGUGCGACGCUGGAGCGGCGUCUAAAUCAAUUAAGUUCGGCAGGUUUUGAUUAAGUUCGACACGACUCGAAGAUGCGACAGGACAAGUCGUUUACCGUAAACUUCCGAAUAUAAGCCCUGGGCUUAUAUAAUUUCAUAAGCCUUUUUUUGAUGGGCUUAUACAUGGGGGGGGGGGGGUAUAUACGGGGGGCUUAUACACGGACCACAUCUUAGGUUAAUAGUAAGAAAACACGUACUAUAUUUACGGACCGAAACUGCACAAAAAAUAUGCCCGUGACUCCUUGAGGCAAAAUUGGGACGAACUGUCAAGUGUUUUGUAAUCCUUUAUAACCUUUGUUUAAAUAAAUACAUACCGUAGACGUAGUCUUAGUUGAAAUUUAAUGCAAUGUAGUGGAUUUUUUUGUGUAAUUUACCGGUAUUAUACUGUGAUGGGCUUAUAUACGGGUGGGCUUAUGUAGGGGUGGGCUUAUAUUCGGGGGGGGGGCUUAUAUACGGAAUGGUGUGAACGUUAGUAAUUUGAUGGGCUUAUAGACGGGGGGGGGGGCUUAUAUUCGGAAGUUUACGGU
Non-coding RNA from Paramuricea clavata, 687 nucleotides. Lineage: Eukaryota; Metazoa; Cnidaria; Anthozoa; Malacalcyonacea; Plexauridae. The record is from the annotation of a GenBank genome assembly.